This 426-nucleotide ribosomal RNA is filed under the name uncultured bacterium. RNAcentral describes it as "bacterial SSU rRNA". It matches the Rfam family "Bacterial small subunit ribosomal RNA", at positions 355 to 773 of the family's 1533-position model. The record is from RNAcentral.
UGGGGAAUUUUGGACAAUGGGCGCAAGCCUGAUCCAGCCAUGCCGCGUGCGGGAAGAAGGCCUUCGGGUUGUAAACCGCUUUUGUCAGGGAAGAAACGCUCCAAGCUAAUAUUUUGGAGUAAUGACGGUACCUGAAGAAUAAGCACCGGCUAACUACGUGCCAGCAGCCGCGGUAAUACGUAGGGUGCAAGCGUUAAUCGGAAUUACUGGGCGUAAAGCGUGCGCAGGCGGCUUUGCAAGACAGAUGUGAAAUCCCCGGGCUUAACCUGGGAGCUGCAUUUGUGACUGCAUGGCUGGAGUGCGGCAGAGGGGGAUGGAAUUCCGCGUGUAGCAGUGAAAUGCGUAGAUAUGCGGAGGAACACCGAUGGCGAAGGCAAUCCCCUGGGCCUGCACUGACGCUCAUGCACGAAAGCGUGGGGAGCAAAC